This is a long non-coding RNA of Drosophila takahashii, 407 nucleotides long. RefSeq lists it as uncharacterized. The record is from RefSeq and is a predicted model, not a curated record. NCBI's taxonomy places the organism in Eukaryota, Metazoa, Arthropoda, Insecta, Diptera, Drosophilidae.
ACGAGCAGGAUCGGACCACUAUAUCUUAUGGCUCUCAUAGGAAUAUUCGAACAUUAUACGUUUUUUGAUAUGAAGUAGACAUUUUGAUUUCUGACAUUUUAAAACCCAAAUCUAAAAAAAUGCCCAAUAUACAUCACACGUAAACGGGACACAUCGAGAUAAAGGGUUUGAAGCUCACAAAGAAGGCGUUCCAGCUAUGGCAGGUAGCGCAAUAAUUGGAGGCGUGCUCUUGGCUCUAAUCGAAGGUGUUGGAAUAUUAUUUACUAGAAUAUCAGCCGACCAGUUUAGAAAUCCGAUUCCACCGGCAGAAGACCCGUCGGCUCUUGGAGAUCCUGGAAGUAAUUUUUCAUUUGGUUCAACAUCUAAUCAAAAGCAAUAUCAAUAAAAUGCUUAAUAUUUUAAAACGA